RNAcentral lists this ribosomal RNA (253 nucleotides) under uncultured bacterium. RNAcentral's name for it is "partial 16S ribosomal RNA". It matches the Rfam family "Bacterial small subunit ribosomal RNA", at positions 524 to 776 of the family's 1533-position model. The record is from RNAcentral.
UACGUAGGGUGCGAGCGUUACUCGGAAUUACUGGGCGUAAAGCGUGCGCAGGCGGUUUUGUAAGACAGAGGUGAAAUCCCCGGGCUCAACCUGGGAACUGCCUUUGUGACUGUAGAGCUGGAGUGCGGCAGAGGGGGAUGGAAUUCCGCGUGUAGCAGUGAAAUGCGUAGAUAUGCGGAGGAACACCGAUGGCGAAGGCAAUCCCCUGGGCCUGCACUGACGCUCAUGCACGAAAGCGUGGGGAGCAAACAGG